UCUACGCCUAAGGCGGGAGCUCCUGGAGGCGGAGGCCAAGGGUGGGGGCUUAGUGGAGUGAGGGGUAGCAAGAUGGCGACCGAGACGGUGGAGCUCCAUAAGCUGAAGCUUGCUGAACUAAAGCAGGAAUGUCUUGCUCGUGGUUUGGAGACCAAGGGCAUAAAGCAAGAUCUUAUCCACAGACUCCAGGCAUAUCUUGAAGAACAUGCUGAAGAGGAGGCAAAUGAAGAAGAUGUACUGGGAGAUGAAACAGAGGAAGAAGAAACAAAGCCUAUAGAGCUCCCUGUCAAAGAGGAAGAACCCCCUGAAAAAACUGUUGAUGUGGCAGCAGAAAAGAAAGUGGUGAAAAUUACAUCUGAAAUACCACAGACUGAGAGAAUGCAGAAGAGGGCCGAACGAUUCAAUGUACCUGUGAGCUUGGAGAGUAAGAAAGCUGCUCGGGCAGCUAGGUUUGGGAUUUCUUCAGUUCCAACAAAAGGUCUAUCAUCUGACAACAAGCCUAUGGUUAACUUGGAUAAGCUGAAGGAAAGAGCUCAAAGAUUUGGUUUGAAUGUCUCUUCAAUCUCCAGAAAGUCUGAAGAUGAUGAGAAACUGAAAAAGAGGAAGGAACGAUUUGGGAUUGUCACAAGUUCAGCUGGAACUGGAACCACAGAGGAUACAGAGGCAAAGAAGAGGAAAAGAGCAGAGCGCUUUGGGAUUGCCUGAUGAAAAGUUCUUGUUACUUUCUGUUCUCCAGUGUUUUCCAUUUCUCUGAUUCUUCUUGGUCACAUACACACCUAAAUGCACAGUCAUGUGCCUACGUCCUGCCUCGCAAUGAGGGAGCAUGUACCCCAGGUUCAAGUGCUGGAUUGUGUCAUGUGACCAUCCCAAAACUCAGAGCACCCUAUGGCCAUCUUUGCCCUCUGUCACAUAACUUGAAAACUGCCUGAUGGCCUUUUUGCAGUGGUUCCCUCCAGGAAGCCUUGAUCUCAGUUGAAGAAGUUCUUUCCCGGCAUUCCAAUGCCCGUCAGCUUCAUACUACUCAGACACCCUUAACAAAGGCUGUCACACACACAAUGUAACAAAUACACAAAGUAAAUGAUAAUUACACUAACAAUUAUAUGUUCAGAGGGGCACUGGCCAGGUCCACACACAUCAUAAGGUGGGAGGGGGUGCUAACUCCCACUGGGUUGCUGAGCUGUGCCCCCCAAGCCCCUAGACUCCAUGCCUCUUUGGGGGUAGGGAGGAACAGGGGAAUGAGACUUUAGCUCAUAGAUUUAUGUUCAUAAGGGAAAGACCCCCCUGACACACACACAAAGGUCUUUAUUUGGUGGUAUUAAAGGGGCAGUAUUCUAAGUGUCCCCCAUAUUUAAUGCCCCAGUUCUCUAGAAUCUGUGGAGGGAAGAUACCUGAUGCUUACUGCCCAACUGCUACUCUGUGCCAAGAUCACAAGGCAUUUGACCUUGGAGGGAGAUAUCAUCUGCUCUUCUCUGUUUCUUUCCUUCCACCAAGAAAAUGUGAGUGGUAUUGAUGGCCGGGUGUGUCAUGUUUUCCAGAAUUCGGGCAGAAGGAUGAAGAACAGCCAGAGAGGCUUGGGGUUAUCAUAGCUGCUACAUGGGAGAAGGCAAGCUGAAAAGCCUAACAGCCCCUGCCCAUUCCUCUACUGAAACACCUUGUUUCACUUUCUUACUAUAAGAAUAGGAAUAAGAUGUUAAAGCUCACCAACAUCACCUUCUCAAGGGUGGUGACAUACCUUUCCCCUUCCACCAACUGGCCAAGGGGGAGAGUCAUGCUCUUGGGAAGAAUGAGCCAUCCAGGUUUGCUCACUAGCUUGGGCUUUAGUUCAGUACUGUUUUUAUCAGACCCGUAACUGCUGGCUCUACUUAGAGUGACAGUUUUGCUGAAGGUUCUUACCCCCACCUCUCCUGACAUCCUCUAAGCUCUUGCCUGGAGCCAAGAGGCCUGGUGGUGAAGUAAGGAUAGGGUGUGGAUCAGGAGAUUCUCAACUCCUUGGCUUCUAGGCACUGUCCAGCUGGGAGGCAGAGGGGAACUUGUACUCUGAAGCCUGUGACUCCUCUUAAGCCUCACAUCUCUUCACCACUACUCUGGUGCCCUGGUUAUCUGUCCCACAGCGAGAGGUAUUUUAUGUCCAUAAAGUGCCCGUGGUAAGUGCUCAGAAUUCAUCUCUUGGCUGUGGCGGGUGCUGCUAUUUCUCAUUCCAUUGAGGGGAAGAAACUGAGGCACAGUGAGUCCAGAGGAGAAUGGGUCAGGAUUGUGAGAGGAAAGAAUGGGCCUAGCUAGUGACUUGAAAUGGCAACCAGUCUCUGCCUGCUUCCUAGCCUUCCAAACCCAACAGUCUCCCAUCCAUCCCAUCCUCUGUUCUAACUGGCCCUGUCAGAUGCUUUUCCCCACUCUACUUUCCCCUCCCUGCUGCCAGGUACUGUUAGAUUCCAAAAAUAAAAGGAAAAAAUAAUUAUA
RNA transcript from Cebus imitator (Panamanian white-faced capuchin), 2457 nucleotides. It is a transcript of the gene named SAP domain containing ribonucleoprotein, with no coding region annotated. The transcript has 12 exons. NCBI's taxonomy places the organism in Eukaryota, Metazoa, Chordata, Mammalia, Primates, Cebidae. The record is from RefSeq and is a predicted model, not a curated record.